UACGUAGGGGGCAAGCGUUGUCCGGAAUUAUUGGGCGUAAAGCGCGCGCAGGCGGUUUCUUAAGUCUGAUGUGAAAGCCCACGGCUUAACCGUGGAGGGUCAUUGGAAACUGGGGAACUUGAGUACAGAAGAGGAGAGUGGAAUUCCACGUGUAGCGGUGAAAUGCGUAGAUAUGUGGAGGAACACCAGUGGCGAAGGCGACUCUCUGGUCUGUAACUGACGCUGAGGUGCGAAAGCGUGGGGAGCGAACAGG
RNAcentral lists this ribosomal RNA (253 nucleotides) under uncultured bacterium. RNAcentral describes it as "partial 16S ribosomal RNA". It matches the Rfam family "Bacterial small subunit ribosomal RNA", at positions 524 to 776 of the family's 1533-position model. The record is from RNAcentral.